GAUGAACGCUAGCGGCAGGCUUAAUACAUGCAAGUCGUGGGGCAGCAUGGGUGUAGCAAUACAUCUGAUGGCGACCGGCAAACGGGUGCGGAACACGUACGCAACCUUCCUUCAAGUGGGGAAUAGCCCAGAGAAAUUUGGAUUAAUACCCCGUAAUAUUAUGAGAUGGCAUCAUCUUAUAAUUAUAGCUUCGGCGCUUGAAGAUGGGCGUGCGGCUGAUUAGGUAGUUGGCGGGGUAACGGCCCACCAAGCCUUCGAUCAGUAACUGGU
RNAcentral lists this ribosomal RNA (270 nucleotides) under uncultured bacterium. Its description in RNAcentral is "partial 16S ribosomal RNA". It matches the Rfam family "Bacterial small subunit ribosomal RNA", at positions 28 to 291 of the family's 1533-position model. The record is from RNAcentral.